GGUCACAUCACAUUGAAACCCCAGUUCCUGUACGAUCACCAAAGUCAAGCAACAUUAAGCCUAGUCAGUACUUAGAUGGGUGACCGCUUGGGAAUAUUAGGGGAUGUAA
This is a non-coding RNA of Acanthosepion pharaonis, 109 nucleotides long. The record is from the annotation of a GenBank genome assembly. NCBI's taxonomy places the organism in Eukaryota, Metazoa, Mollusca, Cephalopoda, Sepiida, Sepiidae.